UUUAGACUUGCAUGCAUGUAUGAUUGGUUUAGAAACAAAUAAUUUUGGGCACCAAAAUGAUGAAAAAGAAAUAAAGGCAACUAAACCUUCUAAGUUGGGUAAUCCUCACCCGGUUAUUUAGCGUAACGGCGGUUGAACCUCAAAUGUCGUCCCAAAGUGGACCAAUAAAUGCACAAAAGUGUGUAAAUUCAUCGAAAAAGAAAAAAAUAAUAAAAAG
Molecule: long non-coding RNA, 217 nt
Filed under: Lathyrus oleraceus (garden pea)
Lineage: Eukaryota; Viridiplantae; Streptophyta; Magnoliopsida; Fabales; Fabaceae
Description: Pisum sativum (pea) long non-coding RNA (PSAT_LNC013117)
Source: RNAcentral